UCUAAAGUAUCAAAUAUCAAUACUUUAAGUAGGUAUUCCAACGCUACCGCGAAAACCCUCUGCCGUACGGCGAUCCGUAAAUUUGCUACCAUCUUCCCACACCCGCGGUACAAAAACUAUCCGGUUCUAGAGGCAAAUUUACCCAUCAAAAUAAAGGAUAUAAGUUUCUCUUUCCUGUGAUGUGUUUAUUUUGCUUGUAAAUUGUUUAAAACGCCAGAAAUUCGCCGGUGAAAACGGCGCGCCGUAAGCGGGGAGGCCUGGGUUUCAGAUCGUGGUUUCAAUACUUCCGGAUGCAGCCGCCGUGACCCCUGACUUUACCGCGCUUGCGCUUCGCCGUCUUAGACCGCAGCAGAAUGAAAGUUGUACCAUUUGAAAGAGCACAUUUCAAGCUUUAAAAUGAUGCCUGGAACAUGAGGAAAAAUUUAUUUUUCGGGGGACAAAAGUCAAUUUGAAAGGAAUCGUCGAUCUUUAAUGAUAAAAAUCACCGAUCGAACUUUAUUUUUUCUUCUUGUUCCUGGUGCCAAACUGACGACAAAAAACAGGGCUACGUUUUGAUGUAAUCGGCAUGUUUAUAACAUGCACACUCGCAAAGCGGCGGGCUGUUUUCCCCGACGAUCGCCCCGAUUUGGCCGGCCGGCGGCGCCGCGCGAUCCUAACGCGCCAAAUUUUGGGCCCCGCGCCCCUCAGAAACGGAGGAUAUGUCACUGAAGCGGCACAAAUAGAACAUUUUUCGACGCUAUGGAUGAAGAAUUUCAAGCCAGGUUCCUACUGACCGGGCGAGGUUGACGCAGUUGGUACUGAGGUUCAGUCGCAGAAGAUGGCUCAGAAACAGUGACACUUACCUCCUUCCAUCUUGUUGCAGGUGGAAUGUAGAUUGUACCAACUCCCAGAUGUAGCUGAUAUAAGACUGGAGAGCGGAGCGGAGAUAUUGAAUGGUAGAGGUCAAACAUAAUGUUUACAAGUUGUGCAGCCAGUUCCAUUAUCAGCAUUAAGUUUGUUUAAAGAAUACUGUUGCUACCACAGAGAAUGAUAAGUAAGCCUGUUGUUUUUGUGAAAAGUUGUUUACCUUGAAUUAUUAUAUAUAGUAUUGAUUAGAUAAGGAGAAGUACAUGUACCUGCAAGUACAUCAAAGAAAUCUGUAUCGAUUGUAUGUAUCCUGAAGACAGCCUUUGACCUUGAAAAAUGUUGAACUUAUCCUAAUAAAUUUAGUGUUUACACAAUGUCUACAUAUUGAUAUUCUAUCUCUUAUUAGUACUAACAUCUGUCUUCUAUAUUUUAUUAUACAAUUACAAGUGUAAAGUUGUACUGUUGAUGCUGUGUAACAUCAUGACUUAACAUGAAAAUAAUGCGACAUACAUGUAUUCACACACUUA
Branchiostoma floridae (Florida lancelet) is the source of this 1373-nucleotide long non-coding RNA. RefSeq lists it as uncharacterized. The record is from RefSeq and is a predicted model, not a curated record. The transcript is spliced from 3 exons. Lineage: Eukaryota; Metazoa; Chordata; Leptocardii; Amphioxiformes; Branchiostomatidae.